UACGGAGGGUGCAAGCGUUAUCCGGAUUCACUGGGUUUAAAGGGAGCGCAGGCGGAUUUGUAAGUCAGUGGUGAAAGGCUUAAGCUUAACUUGGGAACUGCCAUUGAUACUAUAAGUCUUGAAUGUUGUUGAGGUUUGCGGAGUGGGUCAUGUAGCGGUGAAAUGCAUAGAUAUGACCCGGAACACCUAUUGCGAAGGCAGCAGGCUAAACAAAUAUUGACGCUGAGGCUCGAAAGCGUGGGGAUCAAACAGG
This 253-nucleotide ribosomal RNA is filed under the name uncultured bacterium. Its description in RNAcentral is "partial 16S ribosomal RNA". It matches the Rfam family "Bacterial small subunit ribosomal RNA", at positions 524 to 776 of the family's 1533-position model. The record is from RNAcentral.